Molecule: non-coding RNA, 25 nt
Filed under: Rattus norvegicus (Norway rat)
Lineage: Eukaryota; Metazoa; Chordata; Mammalia; Rodentia; Muridae
Source: RNAcentral
UCCAGGCCUAGGUCACACAUAGUGG